Molecule: unclassified non-coding RNA, 338 nt
Filed under: fungal sp.
Lineage: Eukaryota; Fungi
Description: partial internal transcribed spacer region
Rfam family: Eukaryotic small subunit ribosomal RNA (bases 1-45)
Source: RNAcentral
AGUCGUAACAAGGUAACCGUAGGUGAACCUGCGGUUGGAUCAUUACUUAACUUAAAAAUGUUUUGACUUUAAGUCUUAACUUUUUAAUGAUUCUCUUUAACUGUUUAACUUUUUAACGAGUUAACUUAAAAGUUAGAGAGAGUCCCAACCCAAAUGUGAACUUGUUAAACUUAAACAAUACCCAUCAGUGGGUUCAAAACUAAUAGAACUUUUUCUGUUUGAAUUUGAUCCCACUGUUUGGACUAUUACUACAAAACAUUGACCCAAAACUUAAAAGUUAAAUUGGACCCAAUUAAAUAAUUAAGAAACAACUUUUGACAACGGAUCUCUUGGCUCUU